UCUGGAUGAACGCUGGCGGCGUGCCUAAUACAUGCAAGUCGAACGAGUUCUGAUUAUUGAAAGGUGCUUGCAUCUUGAUUUAAUUUUGAACGAGUGGCGGACGGGUGAGUAACACGUGGGUAACCUGCCCUUAAGUGGGGGAUAACAUUUGGAAACAGAUGCUAAUACCGCAUAAAUCCAAGAACCGCAUGGUUCUUGGCUGAAAGAUGGCGUAAGCUAUCGCUUUUGGAUGGACCCGCGGCGUAUUAGCUAGUUGGUGAGGUAACGGCUCACCAAGGCAAUGAUACGUAGCCGAACUGAGAGGUUGAUCGGCCACAUUGGGACUGAGACACGGCCCAAACUCCUACGGGAGGCAGCAGUAGGGAAUCUUCCACAAUGGACGCAAGUCUGAUGGAGCAACGCCGCGUGAGUGAAGAAGGCUUUCGGGUCGUAAAACUCUGUUGUUGGAGAAGAAUGGUCGGCAGAGUAACUGUUGUCGGCGUGACGGUAUCCAACCAGAAAGCCACGGCUAACUACGUGCCAGCAGCCGCGGUAAUACGUAGGUGGCAAGCGUUAUCCGGAUUUAUUGGGCGUAAAGCGAGCGCAGGCGGUUUUUUAAGUCUGAUGUGAAAGCCCUCGGCUUAACCGAGGAAGUGCAUCGGAAACUGGGAAACUUGAGUGCAGAAGAGGACAGUGGAACUCCAUGUGUAGCGGUGAAAUGCGUAGAUAUAUGGAAGAACACCAGUGGCGAAGGCGGCUGUCUGGUCUGUAACUGACGCUGAGGCUCGAAAGCAUGGGUAGCGAACAGGAUUAGAUACCCUGGUAGUCCAUGCCGUAAACGAUGAAUGCUAGGUGUUGGAGGGUUUCCGCCCUUCAGUGCCGCAGCUAACGCAUUAAGCAUUCCGCCUGGGGAGUACGACCGCAAGGUUGAAACUCAAAGGAAUUGACGGGGGCCCGCACAAGCGGUGGAGCAUGUGGUUUAAUUCGAAGCAACGCGAAGAACCUUACCAGGUCUUGACAUCUUUUGAUCACCUGAGAGAUCAGGUUUCCCCUUCGGGGGCAAAAUGACAGGUGGUGCAUGGUUGUCGUCAGCUCGUGUCGUGAGAUGUUGGGUUAAGUCCCGCAACGAGCGCAACCCUUAUGACUAGUUGCCAGCAUUUAGUUGGGCACUCUAGUAAGACUGCCGGUGACAAACCGGAGGAAGGUGGGGAUGACGUCAAAUCAUCAUGCCCCUUAUGACCUGGGCUACACACGUGCUACAAUGGAUGGUACAACGAGUUGCGAGACCGCGAGGUCAAGCUAAUCUCUUAAAGCCAUUCUCAGUUCGGACUGUAGGCUGCAACUCGCCUACACGAAGUCGGAAUCGCUAGUAAUCGCGGAUCAGCACGCCGCGGUGAAUACGUUCCCGGGCCUUGUACACACCGCCCGUCACACCAUGAGAGUUUGUAACACCCGAAGCCGGUGGCGUAACCCUUUUAGGGAGCGAGCCGUCUAAGGUGGGACAAAUGAUU
This 1490-nucleotide ribosomal RNA is filed under the name uncultured organism. RNAcentral describes it as "SSU rRNA". It matches the Rfam family "Bacterial small subunit ribosomal RNA". The record is from RNAcentral.